This 483-nucleotide ribosomal RNA is filed under the name uncultured bacterium. RNAcentral's name for it is "partial 16S ribosomal RNA". It matches the Rfam family "Bacterial small subunit ribosomal RNA", at positions 28 to 507 of the family's 1533-position model. The record is from RNAcentral.
GACGAACGCUGGCGGCGUGCUUAACACAUGCAAGUCGAACGCUGAAGCUCAGCUUUUGUUGGGUGGAUGAGUGGCGAACGGGUGAGUAACACGUGAGUAACCUGCCCCCUUCUUUGGGAUAACGCCCGGAAACGGGUGCUAAUACUGGAUAUUCACUGGUCUUCGCAUGGGGGUUGGUGGAAAGGGUUUUUCUGGUGGGGGAUGGGCCCGCGGCCUAUCAGCUUGUUGGUGGGGUGAUGGCCUACCAAGGCUUUGACGGGUAGCCGGCCUGGGAGGGUGACCGGUCACAUUGGGACUGAGAUACGGCCCAGGAUCCUACGGGGGGCAGCAGUGGGGAAUAUUGCGCAAUGGGCGCAAGCCUGAUGCAGCGACGCCGCGUGAGGGAUGGAGGCCUUCGGGUUGUGAACCUCUUUCGCUCAUGGUCAAGCCGCAACAAUGGUUGUGGUGAGGGUAGUGGGUAAAGAAGCGCCGGCUAACUACGUG